This is a long non-coding RNA of Mastomys coucha (southern multimammate mouse), 823 nucleotides long. RefSeq lists it as uncharacterized. The record is from RefSeq and is a predicted model, not a curated record. NCBI's taxonomy places the organism in Eukaryota, Metazoa, Chordata, Mammalia, Rodentia, Muridae. The transcript has 3 exons.
AUGUACUAGGAAGCAGGCUGAGCAAACCAUGAUCAGCAAGCCAGUAAGCAGCACUCCUUCAUGGCUUCUGGACCAGUCCUUGUCUCUAAGUUAUUUCCCUGCCCUUUUCUUCUACAGGAUGUUUUUGUCAUGUUGAUAUAUCACAACAUGGCACUGUCUCUAAUGGAAACACUGUUCUAGCAUGUUAAGACCUUAUUAUCACCAAAAUCUCACAGAGUUUGGAGGACAAUGUACCUGCAUCAGAAGGAAUUUGGAAACAUACUGAAAAUACAGAUCACAAAUCUCUACCAUCUAAGAAAAGGACCGUGAAGCCUAAAUUCUAAACCAGAACCUUGAAUGAAUAUUUUCAAGCUAAACCCAGGUUCUACCUCUUAAACUUGGCAGGAGCUUCGAAACAGCAUUACCACUGGAAAACCAAGUCAUCAACGGAAGGAGCUAAAGGUAGCACGCGGAUGAGAGGCUACUCAGAGAAGGAUAUAUUCUGGGAAAUGAAGUUGCCUGCUUUUUUAGGUAACUGCUGACGUGACAAUUCUAUGAUAGAUAAGCUUGUGCUCACUACCUACAGCCAGAGAUGGGUUUCUUCUCUGCUGCUACCAGACUUAUAGCCCUUGGCCUCCAACAACAGGAAGCAUUGGCCAUGUUUUUCAACAAUCUCUCUUUUCCUAUUUAGGAGGAAAAAUACCAUAAAAUCAAAGAACAGGUCAUAACAAGGACAACUAUUACAACAACUGAAAAUGAGGUCAUUUUUCCCAAGGAGAUGACAAUGGAAUUUUAAAUAGUCAUGUGAAGAGUUAAAACAAGCAUUUGACAUUGAAACGAUAAC